RNAcentral lists this ribosomal RNA (465 nucleotides) under Vreelandella stevensii. RNAcentral's name for it is "partial 16S ribosomal RNA". It matches the Rfam family "Bacterial small subunit ribosomal RNA", at positions 338 to 795 of the family's 1533-position model. Lineage: Bacteria; Pseudomonadati; Pseudomonadota; Gammaproteobacteria; Oceanospirillales; Halomonadaceae. The record is from RNAcentral.
CCUACGGGAGGCUGCAGUGGGGAAUAUUGGACAAUGGGCGAAAGCCUGAUCCAGCCAUGCCGCGUGUGUGAAGAAGGCCUUCGGGUUGUAAAGCACUUUCAGUGGGGAAGAAAGCCUUGGGGCUAAUACCCUCGAGGAAGGACAUCACCCACAGAAGAAGCACCGGCUAACUCCGUGCCAGCAGCCGCGGUAAUACGGAGGGUGCGAGCGUUAAUCGGAAUUACUGGGCGUAAAGCGCGCGUAGGCGGUCUGAUAAGCCGGUUGUGAAAGCCCCGGGCUCAACCUGGGAACGGCAUCCGGACCUGUCAGGCUAGAGUGCAGGAGAGGAAGGUAGAAUUCCCGGUGUAGCGGUGAAAUGCGUAGAGAUCGGGAGGAAUACCAGUGGCGAAGGCGGCCUUCUGGACUGACACUGACGCUGAGGUGCGAAAGCGUGGGUAGCAAACAGGAUUAGAUACCCCAGUAGUC